Molecule: non-coding RNA, 112 nt
Organism: Acanthosepion pharaonis
Lineage: Eukaryota; Metazoa; Mollusca; Cephalopoda; Sepiida; Sepiidae
Source: the annotation of a GenBank genome assembly
ACAGCCAUAUCACGUUCAAUAAUCGGUUCCCGUACGAUCACCAAAGUUAAGCAACGUUGAGCCUGGUCAGUACCUAGAUGGGUAACUGCUUGGGAAUAUUAGGUGCUGUAGG